GGCCGGUUAGCUCGGUCAGUUGAGCGUGGCACUAACAACGCCAAGGUCGCGGGUUCAAUUCCUGUUUGGUCCC
This is a non-coding RNA of Apaloderma vittatum (bar-tailed trogon), 73 nucleotides long. Lineage: Eukaryota; Metazoa; Chordata; Aves; Trogoniformes; Trogonidae. The record is from Rfam.